ACCGCCCACUAUAAUCUUACUGUCCAGUUACAGAGGUUUGGUUCACCAUGUUGGAUCAAAUGUUCAUCAUUAUAUCGCUCGGAGUAUAACAGUCUAUCAUGCCGGUGACAAGUGCUCGUCGUGGGUUAACAGUGUAGAUCUGUCACGGCGCCUUCCCGUUCCAUCGAUGACAGCAGGACUCCGCGACACGUUCUCGAAAGAAAGGAGGGAUUACUGUUUUGAUUUGGAGACACCCAGUAGCUAACACUAAGCUGUCAGGUUCAAAACAGCGGUCCUUUUCAGUCUCAAGAGUCUCCAGGCAAACGGUUGAAAGGAUUUAACUUUUCCUUAACACUAUCCAGUGGCUCUGGGUGAACUUUGUCGAGUCCAAGAGGACAGCGGCUUGUGUGUUAAAAGAGCCAAAGACUGUCGAUGGGGGAAGUAAGUUGCCACUCAGCCCGUCUACGAGGAUUUCUCUUCUGCUAUUUUGAUGCAAGCUCGAUCCUUGUUCGCUGUCAAAAUGUGGAGGAUUUCUGAGAAGACGCCUUGCGCUUCAGUUCUGUGUAAUAUGUGAGGGAGGUGGGUCACCGAGGCCUGGGCCUGCCUGCUGUAGUGGGGCCUGGGAGAAGAUACACCUCCUCUGUACCGGAUCAGCAGCGAUAAUUAAGGCUUGGAGAUUACCACUGUUUACGGAGUAGCUGUUUGGCCUGCACACACUUCCGAGAAGAGGUAGGCUAUCGUUUGGAAAAAAAAAAUUGAUGCGAUUUUCAGGCAGCCUGGAGCCCAGCUGGCAGCAACGGCAACAGUCCUGGACCAGAGCGUCUGGCAAACUUGGACACUUCAAAAAGAGGAGAGCUCGUUUUCUCAUGUGACAAGCGUCAGACCACACUGUAAGGAAGCAGACUUAAAAUCAGCAGGGAGGGUGGUGCCAACACCAUCAUGAGGGACAUUUAGGUCCUUUGUUUUAUUUAUUGAGGGGUGGGCGGGUUGUUUUCAGUUUUUGUUUUUGUCCUUCCACUAGUACUGGAGAAGCAAGACACUUAUGUAGUCAUAUUUUUACAUGCCUGUUAUUCUCCAAGAUCCUUGUACCAGAAUGGUAGGACUCCCAGUAGAUGAAAGGACAGUUGAAGAAUCUGUUCCCCUUGAGUUUCAUUGAUUGUACUAUAGGAGCCUGGUAGCCACUAUCAUCACUUCGACUCACGAUUAGUGAAUGACUCUUUGUGGCACAUCAGCUCCAAAUGUUACAAAAAUGAUGGCUGCAUACAAUGGUGGCUCUUCAGCCGUGGCUGCCCAUCUUCCUCAUCACCACCACCACCAGCUGCAGCAUCUCCCGCCUCCACACAUGCAUCACCACCACCACGUGGGCCAGCAUCACUUGCAGCACCCGGGCUCUGCUGCUGCCGUUCACACUAUCCAACAGCACACCUCCACGGUUGCUGCUGCUGCUGUGAUGCUUAACCCCGGUCAGCAGCAACCGUACUUCCCCUCUCCAGCCCCUGGACAGGCCCCCGGGCCCGCGGCGGCAGUGGCUCCGGCCCAAGUUCAAGCCGCCGCUGUCAAAGCUCACCAUCAUCAUCACCAUCAUCAGCAGCACACACACCACCUGCAGCAGCAGCUUGAUAUAGAGCCUGACAGGCCUAUUGGCUAUGGUGCGUUUGGGGUUGUCUGGUCAGUCACAGAUCCUAGAGAUGGAAAGCGAGUUGCCCUCAAAAAGAUGCCCAAUGUCUUCCAAAACCUUGUUUCUUGCAAGAGGGUAUUUCGAGAACUGAAGAUGCUAUGUUUUUUUAAACAUGAAAAUGUGCUCUCUGCUCUUGACAUUCUGCAACCUCCACACAUCGACUACUUUGAAGAAAUAUAUGUGGUGACUGAACUGAUGCAAAGUGACCUCCAUAAGAUCAUUGUUUCACCACAGCCCCUUAGCUCAGACCAUGCUAAAGUUUUUCUCUAUCAGAUUCUACGAGGAUUGAAGUACCUUCAUUCUGCUGGCAUUCUUCACCGAGACAUCAAACCUGGCAAUCUUUUGGUCAACAGCAACUGUGUAUUGAAGAUCUGUGAUUUUGGCCUGGCACGAGUGGAAGAGACUGAUGAGUCGCGGCACAUGACUCAGGAAGUGGUGACACAAUACUACCGGGCUCCAGAGAUCCUGAUGGGAAGCCGUCACUACUCCAACUCCAUCGAUAUCUGGUCUGUGGGUUGUAUCUUUGCUGAGCUGUUGGGGCGAAGAAUCCUCUUUCAAGCCCAGAGUCCCAUCCAGCAGCUGGACUUGAUCACUGACUUGUUGGGGACUCCUUCUAUGGAGGCGAUGAGGACGGCGUGUGAAGGAGCUCGUGCACAUAUUCUCAGAGGACCUAACAAACAGCCAUCCCUUCCUGUUCUUUACACACUGUCCAGUCAAGCAACUCAUGAAGCUGUUCACCUUCUCUGCAGAAUGCUGGUCUUUGAUCCGUCAAAGCGGAUUUCAGCAAAGGAUGCCCUGGCACACCCGUACCUGGAUGAGGGUCGAUUACGCUACCACACGUGCAUGUGUAAAUGCUGCUACACAACAUCUUCUGGCCGCGUUUACACAAGUGACUUUGAGCCUCUCACCAACCCCAAGUUUGAUGAUGGCUUUGAGAAGAAUCUAAGCUCUGUGAGACAAGUCAAAGAGAUUAUCCAUCAGUUCAUUUUGGAACAGCAAAAGGGGAGUCGAGUACCAUUGUGCAUCAACCCUCAGUCGGCUGCUUUCAAGAGCUUUAUUAGAGGUGGACAUUCCGGCACCUGACGUGAGGUCCCUCAACCCGUCACUGACAGAAGGCAAUGUUGCUGACGAAUGACGAGAAAUUAAAGUUCCACAGUGGCACAGCCCUCAGAAAUGCCUCCUUCUCCACUGGUGUGGGAAUAGCUGCUGUUGUGAUUGCGGUCAUCUUUGCCAACUGUGAAGAUGCUAAAAUGGAAUCAUGAAAGCAGCGUCUUCUGUGAUCUGGGUACCGUUCCCACCAACUACUGUUUAGAAGGAAAUGUAGGAAAAAUACUCUGUAGACCAAAUCAGAAUGUGGUAAAUGUCAUGUAUCAUUCACUAGAUUUAACACUACACUUCUCCAGAAUGAAGUAAAUUUGUUUCAAUGUAUAGAUUUUAAAAACUGAUAUGUAAUUUAAAAAUGUACUUUUCAUAAGAUUUGCUUCUGACAUGACUUUCCCCCUGUGACAAGGUUUGUACGAUUACAACUGUCUUUCCAUCUGCACUCAGAUACCAAAUUGGCAUGAAACUAAUAUUCAGACAAUCGAUUGUAGCUGCAUCAUCAGAUUUUUAGGAACUUUUAAGUUCCCUGUUUUUAUACAACGAUGUUCCUGAGUACGUUAGUACAUGAAAGUGAUACUUGUAACAGGACUUUCUUCGGUCCUGUGCACCUCCACAAAUUUUUAACCUGUUGUAACUAUUGUUUACCAAAGAGGAGACAUACACACACGCCAAAAUAUUACGAUUGUGGGUAAAACGAGUGUGUUGUUGCAUAUCAGGCCAAUUUUAAAGUAAGUAUUCUUACACAGAAAAGUGUCCACUCAUGAAUCACACUACUUGUAUUGGUUUGAGAGCAAAUUUUGAUUAAGGAAAUAUCAAAUUGAUAUCCCAAAGAGACUACCAUGCAGGAAUGCAAUUAUUUUGAAAUAGUAAGUUAUACACUCAAAUUGUAUGCGUGUUGUGCAUGCAAUUUAAGAGAUGAUAUAUGCAAACAAAUUUUGUCAAGCACCUACAAUUAUUUAUAUCAUUUUUGAUUGGUUUCCCACGAUCACACCAAGUCAGACAGCAAUGAAAAAUAUUUCUUCAAUGGGCGAGACAAUUUCAUUUGGAGUUCACGUUUCUUAUGAGAUUAGCAUGCCAGCGUACAUUUCGUGAGUUUCAAAUGACAUGUACAGCUAAGGCCACGCAUGCCACGUGAAGAACAAAAUUGGCAAUGAUUAAGAAAUAGGUUUGGGAAGCAAAAUGGCUCAUAUAUGCAAGUAUAUAUAUUUAUAAAAAUGUUAGACUAACAUUUUAAAUUUUAAGUUAUAGAUGAGUAAAAAUAGCAACUGUUCUGUGUCAGUUCAUCACGUGUGCAUCUUCAAUUUAAAGCAUCGUAAUCUUGAACUCACUUAAAAGGAGCACAUUACAAGCUCAAAGAGAGCAAGAAGAAAAAUCUAGUACCUUGGCCGUCUUGAGUUUUUCCUUGGCUCACUAGCGGUUAUAUAAAAGAGGUCAAAAUCCUUUUGAUUUGAUCUGUGUUCCACCAUUCAUUGCUUUAUCAGGCCAUUUCAUUGCCAUCGGUCGGUCCAUCUUUACAAUGUAGAAUACGUUUUUGUAUCUAACAAGCAACGGCCAGUAAGGGGGGGGGGGGGACUGAAAUGUUCGUCAACAUUAUUCUUCCCUAAAACACACACGCAGAAAAAGCAAUGUAGCAUGUUUUCUAUUAAUCUAAUGAAUUGAGACCCUUUUGAAAUUUUACAAAGACAAAUCCAUCCUGCAGGACUACUUAUUGUUACUUUAUAACACCUACAACAGGAUGUGAGUUCGCUCUACAAUUAAAAUCAAAUUCCUAUUUUUAAUCCUUCCUUUCCCCAGUCUGUGACAUAUACUAGUGAUAAAAUCAUUUUCGCUCAGAUGAUGUUGUGCAUAUAAAAGGGAGUCCCACAAGAGAACUUUAAGUUUAGAAAUAACAGAAGCUGAGAAAAGAGUGGUAGAUUACAGCUGGCAAGAUCCAGUCUUCCUUUGUAAACUGCCUAUUUUAAACCAUUUCUUCUAUGCUUGUUGCUCUGAGGACCGUGUUGACAAAUGGAGACUUGUCACCAAAAAGAAAAUGCACUGAGCAAGACAGCAGUCAAACCAGCAAUAGCAUUCUCUCAAGGUUGUAAUUAGUGUAUUUGACUAAAUUGCCAUGUACUUUGACUAGCUCUCUUUAUUCAUGAAUUGUCUUUAAAGAGCAUAGACAGGAACUAAGUAGCAUAUUAAUAACAUUUUGUUUGAAAAUGGUAAUGACAUGAGGUUUCUGCCCUCCUUGUACACUGUAUUCAGAAAAAAUAGCUUUGAAGUAAAUUAUUUAAUAUAUUUUUAGAAUUAUUUUUUAUCCUGUUCUUGUCCUAAGGCAUGCGUUCUCCUCACACCUCAAAAGUAUGGUUUUGUAUAUGUGUGUAAUAGAGAAGCUAAUAUACACACUAACUUAAAAUGUACCGUAGUACCACUGUAUAGAAAUUGUAUUAGCCUGCACAUUUCUAAGGCUGUGAAGUUAAUUUUAUUUUUAAACCUUGCAUACAAAUGUAUAUAUAUUUUUUCUUUUUACCCUGCAACUAGUAAAUCUAGAGGACAAACUAUGCUGUCCAGUGGAGUACACAGUAAUGUCAGCUGUAUGAUGUGUCUACAGCAAAUUUGUAGAUAAAUAUAGGGAGAAGCCUUGUUUUGUUAUUAAUGUUCACUCUGUCAUUGCAGCAACACUGCGUGAAUAUGUAUAUAAAGGAUUCACCACCGUGUUGGUCUCUA
RNA transcript from Syngnathus typhle (broad-nosed pipefish), 5464 nucleotides. It is a transcript of the gene named nemo-like kinase, type 2, with no coding region annotated. The record is from RefSeq and is a predicted model, not a curated record. Lineage: Eukaryota; Metazoa; Chordata; Actinopteri; Syngnathiformes; Syngnathidae. The transcript is spliced from 12 exons.